RNAcentral lists this ribosomal RNA (440 nucleotides) under uncultured Flavobacteriaceae bacterium. Its description in RNAcentral is "bacterial SSU rRNA". It matches the Rfam family "Bacterial small subunit ribosomal RNA", at positions 8 to 442 of the family's 1533-position model. Lineage: Bacteria; Pseudomonadati; Bacteroidota; Flavobacteriia; Flavobacteriales; Flavobacteriaceae. The record is from RNAcentral.
AGAGUUUGAUCCUGGCUCAGGAUGAACGCUAGCGGCAGGCCUAACACAUGCAAGUCGAACGGUAACAGGAAUUAGCUUGCUAAUUUGCUGACGAGUGGCGCACGGGUGCGUAACGCGUAUACAAUCUACCUUUUGCUGAGGGAUAGCCCAGAGAAAUUUGGAUUAAUACCUCAUAGUAUUAUUGAUAGGCAUCUAUUAAUAAUUAAAGGUUACGGCAAAAGAUGAGUAUGCGUCCCAUUAGCUAGUUGGCGAGGUAACGGCUCACCAAGGCAACGAUGGGUAGGGGUCCUGAGAGGGAGAUCCCCCACACUGGUACUGAGACACGGACCAGACUCCUACGGGAGGCAGCAGUGAGGAAUAUUGGACAAUGGGCGAGAGCCUGAUCCAGCCAUGCCGCGUGCAAGAAGACUGCCCUAUGGGUUGUAAACUGCUUUUAUACA